AUUGAACGCUGGCGGCAGGCCUAACACAUGCAAGUCGAACGGUAACAGGAAACAGCUUGCUGUUUCGCUGACGAGUGGCGGACGGGUGAGUAAUGUCUGGGAAACUGCCUGAUGGAGGGGGAUAACUACUGGAAACGGUAGCUAAUACCGCAUAACGUCGCAAGACCAAAGAGGGGGACCUUCGGGCCUCUUGCCAUCGGAUGUGCCCAUAUGGGAUUAGCUAGUAGGUGGGGUAACGGCUCACCUAGGCGACGAUCCCUAGCUGGUCUGAGAGGAUGACCAGCCACACUGGAACUGAGACACGGUCCAGACUCCUACGGGAGGCAGCAGUGGGGAAUAUUGCACAAUGGGCGCAAGCCUGAUGCAGCCAUGCCGCGUGUAUGAAGAAGGCCUUCGGGUUGUAAAGUACUUUCAGCGGGGAUGAAGGGAGUAAAGUUAAUACCUUUGCUCAUUGACGUUACCCGCAGAAGAAGCACCGGCUAACUCCGUG
RNAcentral lists this ribosomal RNA (490 nucleotides) under uncultured bacterium. Its description in RNAcentral is "partial 16S ribosomal RNA". It matches the Rfam family "Bacterial small subunit ribosomal RNA", at positions 30 to 507 of the family's 1533-position model. The record is from RNAcentral.